RNAcentral lists this long non-coding RNA (220 nucleotides) under Elaeis guineensis (African oil palm). RNAcentral's name for it is "long non-coding RNA (EGUI_LNC046673)". Lineage: Eukaryota; Viridiplantae; Streptophyta; Magnoliopsida; Arecales; Arecaceae. The record is from RNAcentral.
CACUCUUAUUUUCGGACUCCCUAUUUAUAGGUGAAUUUUUUACCUUUUUAUGAUCACAAUAGGAGUCCUAAAAACUUUAGAAAUCAUAAAACACCCUUAUCUAAUUUUUCUAGCCAUCAGAUCUUCAAUAGACCAUCCAGAUCACUCCAAAAUUUGCUGUUUAAAUCUUUAUCAUGAUUGAAAAUAAUUCUGGCCAUCGAAUCAGGCAUCGAAUGGAAUC